This 450-nucleotide ribosomal RNA is filed under the name uncultured bacterium. Its description in RNAcentral is "SSU rRNA". It matches the Rfam family "Bacterial small subunit ribosomal RNA", at positions 26 to 518 of the family's 1533-position model. The record is from RNAcentral.
AGAACGAACGCUGGCGGCAUGCCUAACACAUGCAAGUCGAACGCUCUUGGUUUCGGCCAAGGGAGUGGCGCACGGGUGAGUAACGCGUGGGAACCUGCCCUGGAGUGGGGGAUAACCGAGGGAAACCUCGGCUAAUACCGCAUACGACCUGAGGGUGAAAGAUUUAUCGCUCUAGGAGGGGCCCGCGUCGGAUUAGCUAGUUGGUGAGGUAACGGCCCACCAAGGCUAUGAUCCGUAGCUGGUCUGAGAGGAUGAUCAGCCACACUGGGACUGAGACACGGCCCAGACUCCUACGGGAGGCAGCAGUGGGGAAUAUUGGACAAUGGGCGCAAGCCUGAUCCAGCAAUGCCGCGUGAGUGAUGAAGGCCUUAGGGUGUAAAGCUCUUUCACACGCGACGAUGAUGACGGUAGCGUGAGAAGAAGCCCGGCUAACUUCGCGCCAGCAGCCGC